RNAcentral lists this ribosomal RNA (547 nucleotides) under Aureobasidium proteae. Its description in RNAcentral is "partial 26S ribosomal RNA". Lineage: Eukaryota; Fungi; Ascomycota; Dothideomycetes; Dothideales; Saccotheciaceae. The record is from RNAcentral.
ACCAUUACGCCAGCAUCCUAGCCGAAGCGCGGACCUCAGUCCCGGCUGGCCGUAUUACACCCUGGGCUAUAACACCUCCACCGAAGUGGAGGCCACAUUCCCAGAGCCUUUAUCCGGCCGCCGAAACUGAUGCUGGCCUGUCCAAACUGAGUAAACCGGUCAGAAGACCGGCCGAACAGUUUAAACAAGUCUGAUUGCAAGCGCUUCCCUUUCAACAAUUUCACGUGCUUUUUAACUCUCUUUCCAAAGUGCUUUUCAUCUUUCGAUCACUCUACUUGUGCGCUAUCGGUCUCUCGCCAAUAUUUAGCUUUAGAAGAAAUUUACCUCCCAUUUAGAGCUGCAUUCCCAAACAACUCGACUCGUCGAAGGAGAUUUACAUAGGGUGCCAUUUCCUGUCACAUACGGGAUUCUCACCCUCUAUGACGUCCUGUUCCAAGGAACUUAGACAGGCGGCUUCCCCAAAUCAUCCUCUACAAAUUACAAUGCGAACCCGAAGGCUAGCUUUCAAAUUUGAGCUGUUGCCGCUUCACUCGCCGUUACUAGGGCA